CUGGAAUAGAAGAAACUUCAUAUAUUAUCUUAUCGCUAUAUUUGAAUUCUGUAGAAGUUGUUUCUGGACAGUCUAUGAAAAGUUCUUGCUGGCCACGGAGGAAGUAGGCAGCUGACAGAAAGUUCUGCAAUUGCCUGUGCCAAACUGUGUAAAGCAAGUACUUACAUCAAUUGGGAAGAUAAUGCUGCCAUUUUCCUACUUGUUCAGUCCGUGGUGGUUGAUCUUAAGAACCUGCUUUUUAAUCCAAGUAAGCCAUUCUCAAGGGGCAGUCAGCCUGCAGAUGUGGAUCUUAUGAUUGACUGCCUUGUUUCUUGCCUUCGUGUGAGCCCUCACAACAACCAAGUUUAAGAUCUGCCUGGUGCAGAAUUCACAUUCUACAUUUCACUAUGUGCUGGUAAAUUCACUCCAUCAAAUCAUCACCAAUGUAAGUCCAAUAGGCAUUGCUAAACUACUAAAAAAAAAAUUUCAUUAUUUUCUUUG
This 480-nucleotide long non-coding RNA is filed under the name Pan troglodytes (chimpanzee). RNAcentral describes it as "lncRNA (ENSPTRG00000053484.1)". The record is from RNAcentral. Lineage: Eukaryota; Metazoa; Chordata; Mammalia; Primates; Hominidae.